Molecule: ribosomal RNA, 596 nt
Filed under: Lysobacter sp. CPCC100571
Lineage: Bacteria; Pseudomonadati; Pseudomonadota; Gammaproteobacteria; Lysobacterales; Lysobacteraceae
Description: bacterial SSU rRNA
Rfam family: Bacterial small subunit ribosomal RNA
Source: RNAcentral
GUGGCGGACGGGUGAGUAAUACGUCGGAAUCUGCCUAUUUGUGGGGGAUAACGUAGGGAAACUUACGCUAAUACCGCAUACGACCUACGGGUGAAAGCGGAGGACCUUCGGGCUUCGCGCAGAUAGAUGAGCCGACGUCGGAUUAGCUAGUUGGCGGGGUAAAGGCCCACCAAGGCGACGAUCCGUAGCUGGUCUGAGAGGAUGAUCAGCCACACUGGAACUGAGACACGGUCCAGACUCCUACGGGAGGCAGCAGUGGGGAAUAUUGGACAAUGGGCGCAAGCCUGAUCCAGCCAUGCCGCGUGUGUGAAGAAGGCCUUCGGGUUGUAAAGCACUUUUGUACGGGAAGAAAAGCACUCGGUUAAUACCCGGGUGUCAUGACGGUACCGUAAGAAUAAGCACCGGCUAACUUCGUGCCAGCAGCCGCGGUAAUACGAAGGGUGCAAGCGUUACUCGGAAUUACUGGGCGUAAAGCGUGCGUAGGUGGUUUGUUAAGUCUGAUGUGAAAGCCCUGGGCUCAACCUGGGAAUUGCAUUGGAUACUGGCAGUCUAGAGUGCGGUAGAGGGUAGCGGAAUUCCCGGUGUAGCAGUGAAAU